CCUACGGGAGGCAGCAGUGGGGAAUAUUGGGCAAUGGGCGCAAGCCUGACCCAGCAACGCCGCGUGAAGGAAGAAGGCUUUCGGGUUGUAAACUUCUUUUAUUGAGGACGAAACAAAUGACGGUACCUAAUGAAUAAGCCACGGCUAACUACGUGCACGCAGCCGCGGUAAUACGUAGGUGGCAAGCGUUAUCCGGAUUUACUGGGUGGAAAGGGCGUGUAGGCGGGACUGCAAGUCAGAUGUGAAAACCAUGGGCUCAACCUAUGGCCUGCAUUUGAAACUGUAGUUCUUGAGUACUGGAGAGGCAGACGGAAUUCCGUGUGUAGCGGUGAAAUGCGUAGAUAUACGGAGGAACACCAGUGGCGAAGGCGGCCUGCUGGACAGUAACUGACGCUGAGGCGCGAAAGCGUGGGGAGCAAACAGGAUUAGAUACCCUAGUAGUC
RNAcentral lists this ribosomal RNA (443 nucleotides) under uncultured bacterium. Its description in RNAcentral is "partial 16S ribosomal RNA". It matches the Rfam family "Bacterial small subunit ribosomal RNA", at positions 338 to 795 of the family's 1533-position model. The record is from RNAcentral.